Molecule: long non-coding RNA, 264 nt
Organism: Monopterus albus (swamp eel)
Lineage: Eukaryota; Metazoa; Chordata; Actinopteri; Synbranchiformes; Synbranchidae
Exons: 3
Source: RefSeq, a predicted model, not a curated record
GACGCAGAUAAGUGGACUUUCUCACCCUGGAAACAAAGGAUAAUCGAAUGGGACAAAGAAACACUAAUCCAACAAAAGGACUAUUGACAGACCUGCAGCACUGGCUGAGAGGCACCAGGAUGGACAGUUCAUCAUGGGAGUGUUUUCCAAACCUGCAGGGUGGAUAUAAAGCUCAAAGUGAAUAAUGAAGGUGUCGUUUCCAAAUUUCUCAAAAGUUUCAUAAUGAUGGCGAUCCAUGUUACCUGUAUAAGGAGAGAAGAAAAU